UACGAAGGGUGCAACCGUUGCUCGGAAUCAUUGGGCGUAAAGCGCACGUAGGCGGCGCUGCAAGUCGGACGUGAAAUCCCUCGGCUCAACCGAGGACGUGCAUCCGAAACUGCAGUGCUCGAGUAUGGAAGAGGGUCGCGGAAUUCUCGGUGUAGAGGUGAAAUUCGUAGAUAUCGGGAGGAACACCAGUGGCGAAGGCGGCUAUCUGGACCGACAUUGACGCUGAGGCGCGAAAGCGUGGGGAGCAAACAGG
This 253-nucleotide ribosomal RNA is filed under the name uncultured bacterium. RNAcentral's name for it is "partial 16S ribosomal RNA". It matches the Rfam family "Bacterial small subunit ribosomal RNA", at positions 524 to 776 of the family's 1533-position model. The record is from RNAcentral.